RNAcentral lists this ribosomal RNA (634 nucleotides) under Pectobacterium sp. RNAcentral describes it as "bacterial SSU rRNA". It matches the Rfam family "Bacterial small subunit ribosomal RNA", at positions 806 to 1440 of the family's 1533-position model. The record is from RNAcentral. Lineage: Bacteria; Pseudomonadati; Pseudomonadota; Gammaproteobacteria; Enterobacterales; Pectobacteriaceae.
ACGAUGUCGACUUGGAGGUUGUGCCCUUGAGGCGUGGCUUCCGGAGCUAACGCGUUAAGUCGACCGCCUGGGGAGUACGGCCGCAAGGUUAAAACUCAAAUGAAUUGACGGGGGCCCGCACAAGCGGUGGAGCAUGUGGUUUAAUUCGAUGCAACGCGAAGAACCUUACCUACUCUUGACAUCCAGAGAAUUUGCUAGAGAUAGCUUAGUGCCUUCGGGAACUCUGAGACAGGUGCUGCAUGGCUGUCGUCAGCUCGUGUUGUGAAAUGUUGGGUUAAGUCCCGCAACGAGCGCAACCCUUAUCCUUUGUUGCCAGCGAUUCGGUCGGGAACUCAAAGGAGACUGCCGGUGAUAAACCGGAGGAAGGUGGGGAUGACGUCAAGUCAUCAUGGCCCUUACGAGUAGGGCUACACACGUGCUACAAUGGCGUAUACAAAGAGAAGCGACCUCGCGAGAGUAAGCGGACCUCAUAAAGUACGUCGUAGUCCGGAUUGGAGUCUGCAACUCGACUCCAUGAAGUCGGAAUCGCUAGUAAUCGUAGAUCAGAAUGCUACGGUGAAUACGUUCCCGGGCCUUGUACACACCGCCCGUCACACCAUGGGAGUGGGUUGCAAAAGAAGUAGGUAGCUUAACC